GGGUCAGUAGGUUGGUCGUGCCACCGGUACGUACUGGUCUCACUGAUUCCUCCUUCCUGAAGAACCGUAAUGCCAUUAAUUUGGUGUUGCGGGGAAACAGGACUGUUACUUUGAAAAAAUUAGAGUGUUUAAAGUAAGCUAACGCUUGAAUACAUUAGCAUGGGAUAAUGAAAUAGGACGAUCGAUCCUAUUUUGUUGGUUUCUAGGAUUGACGUA
This 216-nucleotide ribosomal RNA is filed under the name Glomeromycotina sp. RNAcentral describes it as "partial small subunit ribosomal RNA". The stretch from base 40 to 216 matches the Rfam family "Eukaryotic small subunit ribosomal RNA", at positions 686 to 864 of the family's 1831-position model. The record is from RNAcentral. Lineage: Eukaryota; Fungi; Glomeromycota.